AGAGUUUGAUCCUGGCUCAGAUUGAACGCUGGCGGCAGGCCUAACACAUGCAAGUCGAGCGGUAGAGAGGUGCUUGCACCUCUUGAGAGCGGCGGACGGGUGAGUAAAGCCUAGGAAUCUGCCUGGUAGUGGGGGAUAACGCUCGGAAACGGACGCUAAUACCGCAUACGUCCUACGGGAGAAAGCAGGGGACCUUCGGGCCUUGCGCUAUCAGAUGAGCCUAGGUCGGAUUAGCUAGUUGGUGAGGUAAUGGCUCACCAAGGCGACGAUCCGUAACUGGUCUGAGAGGAUGAUCAGUCACACUGGAACUGAGACACGGUCCAGACUCCUACGGGAGGCAGCAGUGGGGAAUAUUGGACAAUGGGCGAAAGCCUGAUCCAGCCAUGCCGCGUGUGUGAAGAAGGUCUUCGGAUUGUAAAGCACUUUAAGUUGGGAGGAAGGGCAUUAACCUAAUACGUUAGUGUUUUGACGUUACCGACAGAAUAAGCACCGGCUAACUCUGUGCCAGCAGCCGCGGUAAUACAGAGGGUGCAAGCGUUAAUCGGAAUUACUGGGCGUAAAGCGCGCGUAGGUGGUUCGUUAAGUUGGAUGUGAAAUCCCCGGGCUCAACCUGGGAACUGCAUUCAAAACUGUCGAGCUAGAG
This 643-nucleotide ribosomal RNA is filed under the name uncultured bacterium. RNAcentral's name for it is "bacterial SSU rRNA". It matches the Rfam family "Bacterial small subunit ribosomal RNA", at positions 8 to 646 of the family's 1533-position model. The record is from RNAcentral.